This is a non-coding RNA of Nicotiana tabacum (common tobacco), 1468 nucleotides long. Lineage: Eukaryota; Viridiplantae; Streptophyta; Magnoliopsida; Solanales; Solanaceae. The record is from RefSeq and is a predicted model, not a curated record.
AGUGAAAAAUUGUAAAUUUUAUGACCACAUUUCGAAAAAAUGUGAAAUUUUUUCCUUAUGUCCAAACGGGCUCUUAAUAUCUACUAGUUUUUUCCAGGUUACUUCUUUGCCAUCAUUAAACUUCCAUAACCAUUUGUAAAGCAAGCUUUUGUUGUGAAGCUUGAGGUUCCUCACUCCUUCACUCCUAACCCCACUCCUUCCUUACUGUGUUCCUGAAGUCCUCCAGAGGAAGAUAAGAGAUAGUAAUGUCAGUAAGGAUGGAUAGAAGGAUAAGUGCAGUUUUAUAAGUAGAUAUGGGAAAUGGUUAACGAUUAUGAGCUAAAGUAUGGUAGUACGACGAGGUUCGUAAUCUUUACAAGAGGGAGCUUAUUUUUUUGCAUUCCGUGUCCACGAAAAACUCCCUACUGAUUCUAUCAAUUUGCUCCUCCACUUUAAUAGGAAUUGGGAGUAAAGACAUCAAGUAUGUCGGGAUCCCAUCCAGCACGCUAUUCACCAAAGUCAACCUUCCUAGGAAAAUAUUGUUGUUUCAGGGUGCUAGCUUUCUCUCUUAUUUCUCAGUGACUCCUUGCCGUACACUGUUAUCUUUUGGUUUUGCACCCAAUAGUAUCCCCAAGUAAGUAUUAGUUAGAAACUUCUUAAUUUUACAACCCAUUAAAUCUGCCAGGGAUCCAAUUUCUUGAUCAGCAUUAACAGAAAGAUUGAACUUUUGGACAUAUUGAUCUUCAGGCCUUUGACAACUUCAAAAGCCAGCAACACAACUCUUGAAUGCAAUAUUUGUUCCUUAUCAGCUCUGCACAACAAUAGGUAUCAUCCGCAUACAAAGUAUGUGAUAUAUCCAGUGUCCUACUUAUCCAUCCCUUUUCAGUACAUUAUUAAGCAUGAUGUUUAAGAUAUAUGCAAAUGCUUCAAAUGCAUCAGUGCCUUUUCGACUUACUCCAUCCUUUCCUCUUCCUUCAAAUGCAUCUGUGGAACCUAGGACUCUGAACUCUUAAAUAGAAAAAAGAAAGGAAGAUGAGUUUGAAGUAUUCACACAAACUCACGCGUUUAAUGCCAAAUCAACUUGGUGCUGACAUCUCUUGGAAGAAUUGUCGUUUUCUAUAUUUAUUACUUACUCCAUAUAGAAGAGGCAAAGUGGUCGACCAAGGGUAAAAGAGUAAUUUUAUAUUUUCAUUAAAAUUGCUACUUUUAUGGGUGCCUAAAAGAGUGCAUUGGAAACAGACUGCUGUAAACACACUCAACACACUCUAGAAGUAUCUUUUAAUCUCAUUCCAAAAAAACAGGUAUUCUUAAUCAUAAUCGGAUGCACUAUCAAUUAGAAGGUAUGACUGAUAUUGCUUUACCAUGGGAUAAGUUGUCUUUAGAUUUAAUAAAACAAGAGGAGGAGCAGUCAAGUCCUGAAAGGAAGAAAAGGACAUAUGUAGUUCUUGUAUCCACAGGAAGUUUCAAUCCUCCUACUUANUAUUCAGAU